CGCUGGCGGCGUGCCUAAUACAUGCAAGUCGAACGGUCUUUCUAUGGAAGCUUGCUUCCACUGAGAAGAUAGUGGCGGACGGGUGAGUAACACGUGGGUAACCUGGCCCAUAAGAGGGGGAGUAACAUCCGGAAACGGGUGCUAAUACCGCAUAGUUUUCUUGAUCGCAUGAUCGAGAAAGGAAAGACGGCCUUUGUGCUGUCGCUUAUGGAUGGACCCGCGGCGUAUUAGUUAGUUGGUGAGGUAACGGCUCACCAAGACGAUGAUACGUAGCCGACCUGAGAGGGUGAUCGGCCACAUUGGGACUGAGACACGGCCCAAACUCCUACGGGAGGCAGCAGUAGGGAAUCUUCCGCAAUGGACGAAAGUCUGACGGAGCAACGCCGCGUGAGUGAAAGAAGGUUUUCGGAUCGUAAAACUCUGUUGUCAGAGAAGAACAAGUCGGAGAGUAACUGCUCCGGCCUUGACGGUAUCUGACCAGAAAGCCACGGCUAACUACGUGCCAGCCGCCGC
RNAcentral lists this ribosomal RNA (513 nucleotides) under uncultured bacterium. RNAcentral describes it as "bacterial SSU rRNA". It matches the Rfam family "Bacterial small subunit ribosomal RNA", at positions 34 to 518 of the family's 1533-position model. The record is from RNAcentral.